UCUCUCUCUCCCUCCCUCUCUCCCUCUCUCUCUCUCUCUACCCCCCCUCUCUCUCCCCCUCUCUCUACCCCCCUCUCUCUCUACCCCCCUCUCUCUACCCCCCCUCUCUCUCUACCCCCCCUCUCUCUCCCCCCUCUCUCUACCCCCCUCUCUCUCUACCCCCCUCUCUCUACCCCCCCUCUCUCUCUACCCACCCUCUCUCUCUACCCACCCUCUCUCUCUACCCACCCUCUCUCUACCCCCCCUCUCUCUCUACCCACCCUCUCUCUACCCCCCCUCUCUCUCUACCCACCCUCUCUCUCUACCCACCCUCUCUCUACACCCCCUCUCUCUCCCCCCUCUCUCUCUCUCUCUCUGUGUGCUCUCUUUAUAUAGUAUGUUCCAGUGCACAGUCUGUAGGCUAAAACACAUCCUGCGGCCACGCUGACGCUCAACGAAGACAGUGAAGAAGAAAGAAGAAGGAAAGAAGUGCCUCUUUUCUCUCUCACUCUCUCUCACUCUCUCUCACUCUCUCUCACUCUCUUCUUCCUGGUUACAAAAGAGGUGAAGGUAAAUCUCAGAUGCAGAGAGCCCAGGCAUGGCUGAAAGAGCCUGGAGGUGAAAGCAGGGCUGUUAAGCUGAAGCUGGGUUGUGUUACAGCCCAGUAGGAAGACAUAGCCAUAUGAACGAAUGAAUGAACGGCACAGCAGCACAGAGAAGAGAGAAAUGCAGCAGACAUGGCCAGCGAGCUGUGAUGUGAUGAAAGUGUCCCUCCACAGCAGACGCCCGCCUGCGUCCCUCCCUCCCUCCCUUCAUCAGCUGGGAAGCUUCUCUCCAGAAGGGUGCCUCAGUUACAGGGACCACUCUCCUCUCCAAUCUAGUGCAGUGCUGCAACACCGCCAUAGUGGAGCUCUACUGACACUACCUGGUCAGAAGGGAGCUCUGCAGUGAGACAUUUGAUUUUGGUAGUACUGCACUAUAUACUGCAUGUGCUUUUGGGAGUAAAAUCACCUCCAACCACUGAUACAGGGUCAGAUAUAUUUCAUACCUCUAAUUGUUGUGGGUAGGAUUGGGGGCAGGGUGAACUGAUCCUAGAUCUGUGUCUAAGGUCAACUCCUAUUCAGUAGGCUACUUUGUAAAUUAGUGUAUUAGAUUGUGUUCAGCAUAGGAGAUAAGUCGAGAAUGGAGAAGGGGAUGAGUGAAACAUUUAAGUGGAUCCUGAAUCGAUCCCAAUACAGUGUUAAUCUAGUGAGUGCCCCACUGGCAGACAACACUGGCUAAAAGGUUGACCAGCACAGCGGACUUAAGCCAGUGUCAAACUAGCCACGCUCACUAUUACAAAGCAAGUCAUUUUCAAAUGAAGAUGGUUAGGUUGCAUAAACGUUGGAAUUGGCAGCAUUGUCAGCCAGACUGGCGCUAUUAUGAUUAUACCUAGUGAUUUGGCUGUGGUAAUUAAUGCUGCUCAUUUCACAAUGGACAGAGAGCAAUAAAGAUUGGCUUAUGCUGAGCACAGCGGACUGCCCAUUACACGUCAAGUUGAUUUAGCUAGACAUGCUGUCAACUAGGCUUGGGCGAUAUACUGUAUACCAGGGUAUUUAGACAUACUGACAGUACGAUUGUCAAUACCGUAAAAAAAAAAAAAAGAUAUAAUUGGGGUUGGGGGCCCCACCGCCCCGCGGGGAUCUGUGCUACGUAUCUGGAUCAAGAUCCCCAUGUUGCCUAAAUUGUUGAGCCCCAACAAUUUUUAUUUUUAAAUAGCAUCUUUUGUGUGCACUUCUGGUAAUAUUGUAUACUCCCUACAGAAACAGUACGAAAAUCAAGAUACUGCUCAACCCGAGCACAUUAUAUAUAUUAUA
This 1835-nucleotide long non-coding RNA is filed under the name Salmo trutta (river trout). Its description in RNAcentral is "lncRNA (ENSSTUG00000050620.1)". The record is from RNAcentral. Lineage: Eukaryota; Metazoa; Chordata; Actinopteri; Salmoniformes; Salmonidae.